UGAAGCUUCCACUGAAGAUAGAGACAAGUGAUGUCAUCCGAGAAGUAAAUCACCAGUCAAGGUGACAUUGAAGGCUAUCCAUCAUAUUUUAUAACCCAAAUGCUGCCAUUGGGUACAUAUUUUCUGUUUUGGGCAAAGACAACCCGGACUGGGUUUCUUUGUAAGAAAAGCAAUCUUCUCACACUUUGAACGCAAGUGGCUGACUUGUAAGCUCAUAGGAGUCCCAGAAAGAAGCCUGGAAAACCUUGACUUCUUCUCUGACCCUCGACCAAACACAAGCUCACAAGUCAUCGGACAAGACAGAUCUAUUGGUGCGGUUGAUUCAAGAUAGCACCCUAGACCUUGGAAUAGAGUGGUGAAGACUCAAGAGUUAAGGUGUCAAGAUGAAAAAGAGAAGGUGGCUUUGGUGACAAGAGAAAGAGCUACAGCAUCAAGAACUGAUUUAGGAUGCACUAGCUUGCUAGGUGAGGAGAAGCAAUGCUCAGAAAAACAUCUGACAGCAUGGUUUCUGUCUUAACUGGGUAGUGUGAAC
RNAcentral lists this long non-coding RNA (532 nucleotides) under Mus spicilegus (steppe mouse). RNAcentral's name for it is "lncRNA (ENSMSIG00000013753.1)". The record is from RNAcentral. Lineage: Eukaryota; Metazoa; Chordata; Mammalia; Rodentia; Muridae.